This is an unclassified non-coding RNA of Pongo abelii (Sumatran orangutan), 148 nucleotides long. It matches the Rfam family "Metazoan signal recognition particle RNA". Rfam says of the family: The signal recognition particle (SRP) is a universally conserved ribonucleoprotein. It is involved in the co-translational targeting of proteins to membranes. The record is from Ensembl. NCBI's taxonomy places the organism in Eukaryota, Metazoa, Chordata, Mammalia, Primates, Hominidae.
GCCAGGCAUGGUGACGCGUGCCAGUAGUCCCAGCUACUCAGGAGGCUGAGGCGGGAGGAUUGCUUGAGCCUGGGAGGCAGAGGUUGCAGUGAGCCGAGAUCGCGCCACUGCACUCCAGCCUAGGCAACAGAGUGAAAUCCUGCCUCUA